UCCCAAAAAUAAACGUCCCAGUUCGGACUGUAGUCUGCAACCCGACUACACGAAGCUGGAAUCGCUAGUAAUCGCGAAUCAGAAUGUCGCGGUGAAUACGUUCCCGGGUCUUGUACACACCGCCCGUCACACCAUGGGAGUCGGGAAUGCCCGAAGUCAGUGACCCAACCAUAUGGAGGGAGCUGCCGAAGGCAGGUCUGAUAACUGGGGUGAAGUCGUAACAAGGUAAC
RNAcentral lists this ribosomal RNA (230 nucleotides) under uncultured bacterium. Its description in RNAcentral is "partial 16S ribosomal RNA". It matches the Rfam family "Bacterial small subunit ribosomal RNA", at positions 1272 to 1500 of the family's 1533-position model. The record is from RNAcentral.